This is a long non-coding RNA of Halichondria panicea, 3370 nucleotides long. RefSeq lists it as uncharacterized. The record is from RefSeq and is a predicted model, not a curated record. The transcript is spliced from 6 exons. NCBI's taxonomy places the organism in Eukaryota, Metazoa, Porifera, Demospongiae, Suberitida, Halichondriidae.
GACAAGACUUAUGGAAAGGUUGCUCAAGAUUUCUACUGGAAAUGCCUACAUGCUGACGUCAUACAUGCAGCUCUGCAAGCACUGCGACAAAUGCCAACGAACGAAUCACCAACUGCAGAAGCCCAGAGCAGAACUACAUCCCAUCCCUGUGACAAAGGUCUGGUACAGAGUUGGUAUUGACUUGGUAGGACCUCUACCUGAAACAAGCUCUGGAAACAAGUACAUUAUCACGCUCUCAGACUAUUUCUCUAAGUGGCCUGAGGCUGCCCCACUCCCAUCAAAAUCGGCAGAAGGUGUAGCAAAAUUUCUGUUUGACACAUUUUGCAGGCAUGGGUGGCCAGCCAAAAGUAAUUCAAUCAGACCAAGGAAGAGAGUUUGUCAACGAAAUCAACACCCGACUUUUUCAGUUGACUGACAUACAGCACUGCGUAUCAAGUGCUUACCACCCACAAACAAAUGGCCUUGAUGAACGCUUCAACCAGACUCUAGUGAACACUCUCAAGAAGGUAAUCGAUUCUAGUACUGAUGACUGGGAUCAGCAUCUCUCUGCUGCUCUUUAUGCCUAUCGCAUAUCUGUGAUGUACUCUGUACUAUGGACUAUUGGUGUCAUAAUUGGACAACCCUUUGGAUCAUUGGUUCCAGACUGUUCUUAUUUAUUCUAGAUUGUUCUCAAUAGACUCAGGGAUUUUCUAGUUGUUUCCUGUUCUUUUAUUUGUUCUAGAUCAUUCUAGAUACUUAGAUUGGUAUAUAAGCAGGUGUGUUUUGUUAUACAGUGUGUUGCAAUUAAAUGUUGAAGGUCAUUCUAUUGUGAUUACGUUCCGAAUACAAGGCAUACCGCUCGGCUUUGUUACAAUAUCAAAACAGGUAAAAUUUUAAAUGCAUGCAUAUAUUAUUUUUUUUAUUGUAGGCAUCAUCAAAGUACACACCCUUUUCCCUAAUGUUCAAUCGCCACCCGCGGAAAGCUGUUACUUUUGAUAUGGAUCAACGAGAUGGUGCCGACGCUAUAGAAGAUAGAGGAGAUGCUGACCAAUUGAGUGGAGAGGAGACUGAAAAUGAAGAAGACGGAGAAGACAUGGAUGGAAUUCUCCGAAGGUUGAUGGAAAUUCGUGACCGCUGUCACCUCAAUGCCAAGGAGAACAUUGCUGCUGCACAGCAAAAACAGAAGCAGCAGUAUGACAACAAGCAUAACUCUUUGAAGAGUUAUCCAGUUGGCAGCAGUGUCAUGCUAAAGAAUAUGGCCAAUUCUCAUCGAAUGGGAGGGAAAUGGACUGCACCUGGAAAGGUCCAUAUAUUGUCCAUAAGAUCCUUGACAAGGGUAGAUACGAGUUGCAGUCUGGGAGCGGCAAAGUAUUGAAAAAGUGUUACAAUGGGUACUGCUAAAGGAAUACUACUCUCCAGAAACCAACGAUGAAGAAAACACUCUUCCUGGCUCUGAAGACAACCACUCUUCUCCAGUCAAAUCACCUCCUAUAAGAAUAAACGAAUGCCUGACGUACCCUCUCAAAAUCCUGACCUACCCUCUCAAAAGCCUGAUGUACCCUCUCAAAAUCCUGACCUACCCUCUCAAAAGCCUGAUGUACCCUCUCAAAAGCCUAACAUAUACCCUCUCAAAAGCCUGACCUACCCUCUCAAAAGCAAGAUAAGCGUGAUAAGCGUCCUCUUGACACAAAAGAUCCUUGCAAGUCACCUCCUAUAGGAAGAAACAAAAGAGUCAGGAACGAUGUGGCUGAAGACCCUAGAUCUAAACCUCUUUGACAAACAAGUGUUGAGUGCAAUAGGUGGUAUGCUCUCCGACAAGCAUAUGCGCGCAGCCCACCAGUUAUUAUCGAUGCAAUUCCUUAAGUUUGAAGGCUGCUAUAAUACUCUCUUGGCCCAAUUAAAGGCAUUUCCACCAGUUUCCAAUAAUCAAGGCCCAGCUGUGAAAAUCUUCUUUGUUGAAGAACGACAGCACUGCAUGGAUUGCCACUUCUCUGUUUAAGGGUGAACUGUAUUUGUACGACAGCUGCUUCAAUGGAACGCUUUCCCCAAGUACUGAGCUCCAGAUAGCACAAGGCCCAUUAAUUCAAUGCAAUGGGCUGUUGGUUUCUGUGGUGGCUCUCCAGCAGCAAGAUGGUGCUAUCAACUGCGGACUAUUUAGCAUUGCUGCUGCAUAUCACGCUGCUAUGAACGAUAAUGUGGAUUCUCUAGUGUUUGAUGAGGCCAAAAUGAGAGCACAUCUCAUUAAGUGCUUUGAGAAGGGCAAACUCUCACGGUUCCCUUGCACAAAGAAAGCGAUGCCCAAAAGACCAACACCACAAACCAUUGCCAUUACAAUAUACUGCAUGUGCAAGAGACCGGACUCUUUUGAGGAUAUGGUCAUGUGUGACAAAUGUAUAGUGAGUGGUAUCACUAUAUCGCUGUGCCAAAAUUCGCAAAGAACCAGUAGGUGAUUGGUUUUGUUCUGGUUGUAUCACUUUAUGAUUUGUGCACUUUUGGUUAUAUUUAUUGUACUUCUUUCUCUUGCAUUGUUGUAUAUAUUGAGUAUUGAGAUCUAUAACAUAAUAGAUACAGCAUCUAUUGCAUCUAGUUAGGCUUUGUCUAUGGCUGUUACUUCGUAGCCUAGACUAGUCCUCUCAGAUUACCUGUGGACUGACUUUCACCUGCACCGCAGAAUGGGGGAGCUCUGGUCCUGGAGUAGGAGCUUUUGUCCUAGGACAGAAACUCCGGGGGGAGGAAAUAUCCUAAGGACGGAACCCCCCCCCCCGGAGCUCCUGUCCUGGGGGAGGCCUGGUCCUGUGACACCGGCAUGCACAUGAAUAGGAAUCUGUCCACUGAUAGCGAUGUCAGACCGAUUUUCAUUUUUACUAUUUCUAAUUCCUAUGUAUUACUAUCUCUUUUGAACACUCUAGGCAAACCAGAAAAACUUUACUGCACUGGAUUUGGUCAAGUGAAUGCAGAGAUACAGCGUUUUGAAGAACACUAGUCAGGGAAAAAUUUGUACAAAAAUUUACCGCAUUUUAAUGUACUUGGGCGGGACUUAUGAAAUUUGUUGUUAAUACCGGAAAUGAUCUUAAAGUUAGCAUAUCUGCUGAACCGCUUGGUCUAUUCUCUUUUAAAAAGUAUGAAAUGGACACUCAGAACUCAGGAGUUAACAUUGUAACAAUUUAAUAUCUAUUUUGAAGUUUAUAAUGUUUCUGUAAUGUAUAUCUUUAUGAUGUCCCUAUAAUAGUGUGAUGUCUCCUGCUUCAGAGAGUUCUUUUGGAUUUAAAGUAACCAUGCUAUCUUUUCUUUCGUACAGUAUAUUGUAUCAUAUUUCAGAACUCUCAUCAAUGUCCACCUUAUGCUUGUAUCUGUUUCUUGAUCUUUAAAAGCAACUUUUUUGUCAAUUUCA